GAAUUCAGUGAAUCAUCCAGAAUCCUUUGAACGCACAUUGCGCCCCCUGGUAUUCCGGGGGGCAUGCCUGUUCGAGCGUCAUUUCACCACUCAAGCCUCGCUUGGUAUUGGGCAACGCGGUCCGCCGCGUGCCUCAAAUCGACCGGCUGGGUCUUCUGUCCCCUAAGCGUUGUGGAAACUAUUCGCUAAAGGGUGUUCGGGAGGCUACGCCGUAAAACAACCCCAUUUCUAAGGUUGACCUCGGAUCAGGUAGGGAUACCCGCUGAACUUAAGCAUAUCAAUAAGCGGAGGAA
RNAcentral lists this unclassified non-coding RNA (293 nucleotides) under uncultured fungus. RNAcentral describes it as "sequence contains ITS1, 5.8S rRNA gene, ITS2". The stretch from base 236 to 293 matches the Rfam family "Eukaryotic large subunit ribosomal RNA", at positions 1 to 58 of the family's 3401-position model. The record is from RNAcentral. Lineage: Eukaryota; Fungi.